Molecule: ribosomal RNA, 738 nt
Filed under: uncultured Acidobacteriota bacterium
Lineage: Bacteria; Pseudomonadati; Acidobacteriota
Description: bacterial SSU rRNA
Rfam family: Bacterial small subunit ribosomal RNA
Source: RNAcentral
AGGGACUUCGGUCCCCGAGUAAAGUGGCAGACGGGUGAGUAACACGUGGGUAACCUGCCCUCGAGUGGGGAAUAACCCAGGGAAACUUGGGCUAAUACCGCAUGACAUCGCCUCCUCCCUGGGGGGGGUGAUUAAAGGUGGGGAUCGAGAGACCUACCGCUUGAGGAGGGGCCUGCGCCUGAUUAGCUUGUUGGUGGGGUAACGGCCUACCAAGGCUGCGAUCAGUAGCCGGCCUGAGAGGGUGAUCGGCCACACUGGAACUGAGACACGGUCCAGACUCCUACGGGAGGCAGCAGUGAGGAAUCUUGCGCAAUGGGGGAAACCCUGACGCAGCAACGCCGCGUGGGUGAUGAAGGCCUUCGGGUCGUAAAACCCUGUCAGGUGGGAAGAAAUGGUGGCGGGCCAAUACCCCGUCAUCUUGACUGUACCACCAGAGGAAGCCCCGGCUAACUCCGUGCCAGCAGCCGCGGUAAUACGGAGGGGGCCAGCGUUGUUCGGAAUUAUUGGGCGUAAAGGGCGCGUAGGCGGCCGCGCAAGUCAGUUGUGAAAUCCCCUGGCUUACCCAGGGAACUGCUUCUGAUACUGCGUGGCUUGAGUCCGGGAGAGGAGAGUGGAAUUCCCAGUGUAGCGGUGGAAUGCGUAGAUAUUGGGAGGAACACCAGUGGCGAAGGCGGCUCUCUGGACCGGUACUGACGCUGAGGCGCGAAAGCUAGGGGAGCAAACAGGAUUAGAUACCCU